CUACGGAGGGUCCGAGCGUUAAUCGGAAUUACUGGGCGUAAAGCGCGCGUAGGCGGCUAUAUAAGUCAGAUGUGAAAUCCCUGGGCUCAACCUAGGAACUGCAUUUGAAACUGUAUGGCUAGAGUAUGGUAGAGGUGAGUGGAAUUUCAGGUGUAGCGGUGAAAUGCGUAGAGAUCUGAAGGAACAUCAGUGGCGAAGGCGACUCACUGGGCCAUUACUGACGCUGAGGUGCGAAAGCGUGGGUAGCAAACAGGAUUAGAAACCCUUGUAGUCC
This 274-nucleotide ribosomal RNA is filed under the name uncultured bacterium. RNAcentral's name for it is "partial 16S ribosomal RNA". It matches the Rfam family "Bacterial small subunit ribosomal RNA", at positions 523 to 796 of the family's 1533-position model. The record is from RNAcentral.